UAUGAUUACAUCUAUCAACCGUGAGGUAGAAGGACAGAGGGAAGGUCAGGCUGCAUUAGGUGUGAAGGAUCACAUUCAGGUGGAGAAAGACCAGCUGAGGGACUCUACAGCCCAGGGACCCGUUUCAUAAAAACCAAGAACUAUCGUAACUUUGUCAUUAUGGCAACAUGGCUGAGCGGCCAAUCAUAAUCAAGGUUACCAUGUUUAGUUAAGGCAACUUUGCGAUAGUUGUCUUUAUGAAAUGGGCCCCUGGAGGGCCAUCGCAACGGACAGAGGGAUUCUUAGCAAGAGGAAUUAUUCAAGCUACAGCUACACAGUGACGGAGGGAUUCUAUCUCUGCAAGAGGAACUGAUCAAACUACAGCAACGUGUACAGCAUCGACCCACCACUUAGGACUGUGAGAGAAUGAAUGGAGGAAAUAAAGAUGAAUGAUGAGGAGAAAAGCCUUGGAGAAUUGAGGAGAAAGAAGGAUGAACUAUGGACACCUAUUAGCUUUGGACUCGUACCACAAAGAUUUCACUGUCAGCUGGGAGCAAGCUGAUCCAAGAUGAACCAAGAAGUCAAUGGAUUGAUCAAAGCUUUCCAAUCUUAUUGUCAAGUAAAAACAUGGUUAUUGAAGCCUAAAUCAUGGUAUAGAAAUUAUUCUAGGGACUGUCAUUUGAGGUAACAAAUUUAGUAUUCUCAGAUGAAUUUUCUCCUUUUGUAAAACUUCAUGCUUCUAACUUUUUUCAAAAGUCUACUCUGCUGCCACAAAUUAAUUUGCAUAAUGCAGACAAGACUGCCAUCAUAGGCAUUCCUCUUGACUAUUUUAUAAUACAGGGGAUUGCUGUCACAUAUAUUGAAAUUAAUGAACAAGCAUCAGUUUAAACUUUAUGUCAGUUUAUCCUAAGACUUUGAGUUUCAAAUAUUUGACAUGCCUAUGCACUGUUAAUCAUGAUC
Lytechinus variegatus (green sea urchin) is the source of this 939-nucleotide long non-coding RNA. RefSeq lists it as uncharacterized. The record is from RefSeq and is a predicted model, not a curated record. The transcript is spliced from 4 exons. NCBI's taxonomy places the organism in Eukaryota, Metazoa, Echinodermata, Echinoidea, Temnopleuroida, Toxopneustidae.